This 260-nucleotide long non-coding RNA is filed under the name Elaeis guineensis (African oil palm). RNAcentral describes it as "long non-coding RNA (EGUI_LNC004285)". Lineage: Eukaryota; Viridiplantae; Streptophyta; Magnoliopsida; Arecales; Arecaceae. The record is from RNAcentral.
AAUAAAAAAAAAAUUAUUACGAACCGAUAUAAAUUGUUAUGUGGUUUCUAAACUUGCGCUGACGGUAUGCGUAUCUUGAUUGCAAACAACUCUGAAUUGCUAUUAUGGACUGACAGCAUGAAUUAAUUAUUAUGUAAUUUCUAACAUCUUGUUGAUGUCAUAUCAUAUUCCAUACAAUUUUGCUAGUCUUUUUUUUUUUAAUAGCCAAUUCUGCCUGCCAUUAUCUAGAACACUUAACAAUAUCAAAUAUAAGUGCUAAA